Molecule: non-coding RNA, 84 nt
Organism: Lentinula edodes (shiitake mushroom)
Lineage: Eukaryota; Fungi; Basidiomycota; Agaricomycetes; Agaricales; Omphalotaceae
Source: Rfam
CCGACCUUAGCUCAGUUGGAAGAGCACAAGACUGUAAUUGGUUAUCUAAUCUUGGGGUCGCCUGUUCGAACCAGGCAGGUCGGA